CCACUUACAGAUUUAACACAAGCUCUCCAAAUGGGCCUUUUUUUAGUUCAAGGAAUAUAAUUUUUUUUCUUCUUUUCCGGAUCAUUACUGUAUGUAUGUACACAGUAUAUUAUAGGAAAUAUCUGAUAAAAAUCCAAGAGUAUUUUUUUUUUUUUUUGAUAAUACACAUGCAUGGUUCAUAAGUCAUAACAAACAAUUAUACUUUCUAUAAAUGAAUUUACGAAAAAUAGCUUUAUAUGUACAAUAUCUCCUGAUAUAUGUAUAUAGUGACAUAUUCUUCAACAAUAUAUACUUUUGUGUGGCUGCGCAAUUAAAUUUUUUUUUUUUAAAUUUAAAUAUGAGCAAAUCAAUAAUGUUGCAUAAUAAUACAGUAUUAUACAAGAAUCUACCAGAAAAUGAUUAGUCGGCGAAUUUUGAAAUAGUAUAAUUAUUAAUUAGAUGUUUUCUUUUAGUAAUAGAAAGCCAAACAAAAAUCCAAC
RNAcentral lists this long non-coding RNA (479 nucleotides) under Capsella rubella. RNAcentral describes it as "long non-coding RNA (CRUB_LNC002396)". Lineage: Eukaryota; Viridiplantae; Streptophyta; Magnoliopsida; Brassicales; Brassicaceae. The record is from RNAcentral.